Molecule: non-coding RNA, 27 nt
Filed under: Mus musculus (house mouse)
Lineage: Eukaryota; Metazoa; Chordata; Mammalia; Rodentia; Muridae
Source: RNAcentral
AUCUUGGUUGGUGCUAAAGAGACCGAA